ACUCAAAGGAAUAGACGGGGACCCGCACAAGCGGUGGAGUAUGUGGUUUAAUUCGAAGAUACGCGAAAAACCUUACCAGCUCUUGACAUGUUGAUCGUACGAUGGAGAGAUUCAUUGGUCGGUUCGGCCGGAUCAAACACAGGUGCUGCAUGGCUGUCGUCAGUUCGUGUCGUGAGAUGUUGGGUUAAGUCCCGCAACGAACGCAACCCUUGCUGCUAGUUGCCAUCAUUAAGUUGGGCACUUUAGUAGAACUGCCGGUGAUAAGCCGGAGGAAGGCAGGGACGACGUCAAGUCAUCAUGGCCCUUAUGGGCUGGGCUACACACGUACUACAAUGGUAAUGACAGAGCGCUGUGCUAAGAUGUGAAUCUAAGCCAAUCGCAAAAAAUUAUCUCAGUUCGGAUUGUUCUCUGCAACUCGAGAACAUGAAGUCGGAAUCGCUAGUAAUCGUAGAUCAGAACGCUACGGUGAAUACGUUCCCGGGUCUUGUACACACCGCCCGU
RNAcentral lists this ribosomal RNA (501 nucleotides) under uncultured bacterium. Its description in RNAcentral is "partial 16S ribosomal RNA". It matches the Rfam family "Bacterial small subunit ribosomal RNA", at positions 899 to 1397 of the family's 1533-position model. The record is from RNAcentral.